AUCAACAUUUGAUUAUAUUAUCUGAGGACAUAAAGAAAAAAUAUGACACUCAGAAAGGAAUUCCUUAAUCACACUUAAUACUCAGAAAAUAAAAGCCACAGAGACAAAUGCUGGAUGUGUCCUUCCACACACUCUACAUGGAGGAGCAACCUUGGUUGACAGACUUUGAGAAGUCCUGUCCUACUAACUAGACUAUGGUCCAUGUACAGAUCACCAUUAGUCUGAUUCAUCCUACUCCUCCAUUCUGAUUCCAUGCUUAUGAGCCACUUCUGGGUGUGAUCUCUCCACAUCAGAAAAGAAUGCUAGGGUCUUACUAAGACAAGCAUUCCAUCUGUGUGACUGUUUUUCUCAUUGCAAGUAAAUAAUCUGGCAUUCUGGUUUUAUUAGCCUCAUGAAUGUCGUUAACAUGAGUCCACCCGAGAGAGAUGGAGCUGCCCUCUGAACGCUGGCAAAUCAGACCUCCAGGCUGGCUAAGCUGAGUGACCGACACUGUGCCAGACACAGUCAAAUAACCAAACCAACAAAUGCCUUACUACGAUGCCCAAAGAGGGAUGCAAUCUUUGAAGGGCCAGAGGGAAGAAUUCUGCCUACAUUCAGUCUCCACUGCCCUUGUAUGACUAUAAACCAAUAAUGUACAGAUUCAAAGGAAGAUGCUACAAGCAUUGUUGGGGAAACUACGGCAGAUGGACAGAAGGCUAGAAACCAAGGCUACAUUAUGUCAAGAGCCAGGUAUCCCUCAACCUGCGAACCCUGAGUCUACUAGAGGGAGGACCUCCAAGGUAAUCUUAGAAGGAGACAUUGCCCCUCGUGUUGAGAUUACAUUUUACAGGGGAUUUGAUCCUUCUGGAAUUACAGCCCCAUUAACCAAGUUGGCUUUCCAGGGGGAACAUCAAGAAUACUAAUCCUUAUCACAAAGGAUCACAAAUAUACCUUUAUAAAGCUAUUUAUAAUCAUCCUAUACCUAUCUCAUUGAUUCUGACAAGCCUCCAAUAAUAAAUCUCACCAAGAACAAACCUUGAAUCCUAAUGGAUUAAUCCUCCACUAACUUUUAAAAAUCUAUACUCACUACUAGUUUUCAAGUUUUUUAUUGGUCACUUCUCUUCAAGUUGAUUCCUCUUCAUAUUGGAUUUGCCCACUGUAGCCUUCCAUUGUUAUAAACGAAUUCCAAAAAUAGGCAAUCGGAGAAGGGGAAAAUGGUAGUACUCAGAUUAAUCAACUUUAAAUUCUGGAUUAUGUAUAAUCACAUUAACCUAUUUGGAAAUUUUUACACAACAAAAAUAAUUGUUUCUGCUACUUAUUCUUUUGCUUUUAUAAUAAUUAGAAUGCUUCCUAUUGUGCUAUAUGGUUUUAAAAUAAUUACAGCAAGUCAAUAAUAGUCAUUUAAAAUGUAAUGAAUUGACGGCUAAUCUACACACCCAUUCGAUCUUUCCGCAAGCAUUCACUUAUCAAAUACAUUCAAUUAUUUCCAUACUCUGAAUUAGUCUACAAAUAUGAGUUUCUGCCAUUUCACAUUUUAAUGGAAGUCCUCAGUCUCAAAAUGUCCAAACCAAAACUCAUCUGGCACAGUCUCCACCUUGUCCUAUAUUCCCUGUUUCAGGGAAUAAAAACACAAUCCACUGAGUCAAAACAUUUGCUUUUCAUGACUCUCUCCUUCUGCCUCACCCCUCAUUACCAUUCAGUUUUUAAUUUCUGUAGAUUUUGUCUCUGAUAAUUUACCAAGCCUAUAAUUUAUACCUAUUUACAUUGCUUUAGAUUAGGGUGCCCUCUCUUGCCUGGAGGACCUCACAGCUCACACUGGCAUCUUCCUCUGAUCUCAGCCCCUCUUCUCUCCGCAUCACCACCAGAGUUAGCCUUCUAAAAUCCAAAUCUAACCAGCUCACUCCCAAACUGAUCCUUUGUUAAGCUCUUUCAGUUUAAUUCAAUUCAUAGGCACUGUGACAGAGGUAUAAAAUAAAGUUCAAAACCCAUUAUGAAAAAUACAAGAUUUAAUGAUUUCCCAAACUGUAGCUUUCCAGCCUAUUUCCUGUCAUAUGACUACAUGUGUUCAAUCAUAACAGCUUCUAUAGAGUUCUUUAUGGCUGUUCUGCCCCUGUGCCUAGAACGUCCCUCUCCACUUUAUCCAUCUUCUCAGUUCUUUCUCAUCCUUCAAGAUGUAAAGGGUUCCUGUGCUCUCAGCAUAUAAUCUUGAGCCUUGACAAUGAGUCUGGUGUCCCAACUCUAUGACACCAGGACAUUCUGUACCUGCUUCUUCCACAGCAUGCAUCACACUAGUUACAACUGCUGCUUUGCACAUGUCGGUCUCCACUCCUGCCUUUCCCCACACUCGGACUGGGAGAUCCUUGAUGGCAAGUAUCAUGAGUGAUAUCAUCUGUGAUCUCUAAUACCCUGCUCAUGAGCAGUUAUAUAGUAGAUAAUAAAUAUGUGCCAAGUGACUAGAUGGGACAAUUUUCUUGUUGUGCCAUGGGUGUCACAAUUGGAAAUAUAAAUAACUCUAGAAGAAAAUAUAAAUUGAAAGGUUGUCAUGAGAGGUACAUAUUGGGUAUUUGAGAGAUUAAAUAAACCCUAGAGAAGUGUGAGAGGAUACAAGUCAAGUGUGAGAGAACACAAGUCAUUGUCAUUGGUAUGACAAUGAAGACAACAAAAGAGAUACGUAUCUAGCCUACUUAGUUAUUGGUAGUGCUGCUGUGGUUGGUGAUAUCCCCAAAGGUGGCACACUCCAUUAAUAGUAUAAAGCCAAAUUCAACCUCCAGGGUCCUCAUAAGAAAGAUUUUAUAUAAAUACAAGAUUUUCUCAUUCUUCUCUUGCAAUACUAGACCAAUCAAAAGCCUAAAACCUAAACACGUUUAUGGAGUAGGCAGGCUGUUACCCAUCAUUACAUCUUAAUCAAUCAUUGUUAACAUAUGGGAUGUACCUGUUCCUACAGCACUGAUACAAAUCAAAAGUAAUUACCUUUUAUAUUUUUAACUAAAAAAAAUGAAAGAUUAAAGAAAACUGUCUUGUUGAGUCUUUUCUUUGACAAAAGUCUGCUAAGAACAUGCAGGAAAGGCAGUCUAACAGAGUAAAAUGAAUCUUUUUUUUUUUUUUUUCAGUUAAAUGGCAACCAAAUUAACUAUGCCAAAUGCUCAACUAGGAAUUUUUUUUCUGUUGUUACCAAAGUAUCCUGAAUGCUAUAAACAUCUAUAAAAUCUCAAAUGCUUUAUAAUUUACCUACAAAAAAAUACAAGUCCAUAUGGAUUGCAGAGAAAUUACUAGAAAAAUCUAUUAGAAGAAAAGUUAGAGAAGUAACGACUAUUGAGAACUGUCUUCAAUCCAUAUUUCAAUUGGAAAAAUUAUCUAUAGGUAUAUCGAAGUUAUUUGCUUUAUCCUCUGUACAUAUAAACUUUUCCUCAUUUCGUUCUAAUAUUAAGGCAGCUAUGUUAAUAACCAAGAAACGAAGCAAUAAGUGAAAGGUCUGUCCAGUCCAUAAUUUUUUUUUUUUUUUGCCAUUUCUAAUGGCUCCAAUUCCAGAAAACACAUAUAAAAAGUAGACAGAAGUUGCCUUUUGCUAGCCUCAGUCAACUCUGAGACCUGAAGGCCUAGUUAAGAGAGUGAACUCUCCCUUCCAACAAACCACCCUUUUCUGUUCAAGAGGCACACGCACUUUGCACUGCCUCUGGAUAGAGUCAACACACUCACUGGCUUUGCCAUGGUAGGCCUACAUGACAGAAUCAUCUCCUUCUUCAGUUUUUCCUUUCCUUAAUGUUUAUUUUUCCUUCCUGUGAAGGCAGAAACCAUUUGAUCCCUGAAUACUUUUCGUGGUGUAAACAGCUUUAGCAUCUAUUGCAUAAUGAUGGUUAAAGUAAUUAAUCAAGGAGGCCAUUAGUCUGGGGUGGCUCUAAUGCCUUGGUAGCUUACACAAGCAAACCAAAACCUAAGCCAGAGUCAGUGCCCUUGGAUCCAAGAAAGUGAAACUUAAGAACAACCAAUUACAGCCAACCAGGCUUUCCCAAAUAAGGCAACUGCUUAAACUACAGCUAAUCUAAUAAAUUCCUUGUUUCAGUGUCUUCUCUAUAAAAGCCUAAUCCCUAGCUCCUGACAGGGAAACGCUUCUAACCAACUUUAGUUUAGCACUACUCAAUUAGAAUCAAUGUAUGCUCAAAUAACCUCUUGAAUUUUCGAUGUGCUUCAGUUUACCUUUUAACAUGAUUACUACUUUAAGCUAUAAUUUAACAGAAAUCCGAUACUUAGAGAUUAUAAUUCUCAAAUAUACAGGUAAUAAAUCUCCAAAACAAUGA
This is a long non-coding RNA of Pteropus alecto (black flying fox), 4274 nucleotides long. RefSeq lists it as uncharacterized. The transcript is spliced from 2 exons. The record is from RefSeq and is a predicted model, not a curated record. NCBI's taxonomy places the organism in Eukaryota, Metazoa, Chordata, Mammalia, Chiroptera, Pteropodidae.